RNAcentral lists this ribosomal RNA (484 nucleotides) under uncultured bacterium. RNAcentral describes it as "partial 16S ribosomal RNA". It matches the Rfam family "Bacterial small subunit ribosomal RNA", at positions 28 to 507 of the family's 1533-position model. The record is from RNAcentral.
AUUGAACGCUGGCGGCAUGCUUUACACAUGCAAGUCGAACGGCAGCGCGGGCUUUGGCCUUGCGGCGAGUGGCGAACGGGUGAGUAAUGCAUCGGAACGUGCCCAGUAGUGGGGGAUAGCGCGGGGAAAGGCGGAUUAAUACCGCAUACGACCUGAGGGUGAAAGCGGGGGACCUUAAGGCCUCGCGCUAUUGGAUCGGCCGAUGUCGGAUUAGCUAGUUGGUGGGGUAAAGGCUUACCAAGGCGACGAUCCGUAGCUGGUCUGAGAGGACGACCAGCCACACUGGGACUGAGACACGGCCCAGACUCCUACGGGAGGCAGCAGUGGGGAAUUUUGGACAAUGGGGGCAACCCUGAUCCAGCCAUGCCGCGUGCGGGAAGAAGGCCUUCGGGUUGUAAACCGCUUUUGUUCGGGAAGAAAUCCUCUGGGCUAAUACCCCGGGGGGAUGACGGUACCGGAAGAAUAAGCACCGGCUAACUACGUG